This 253-nucleotide ribosomal RNA is filed under the name uncultured prokaryote. Its description in RNAcentral is "partial 16S ribosomal RNA". It matches the Rfam family "Bacterial small subunit ribosomal RNA", at positions 524 to 776 of the family's 1533-position model. The record is from RNAcentral.
UACGGAGGGUGCUAGCGUUGUUCGGAAUCACUGGGCGUAAAGCGCGUGUAGGCGGCCCACUAAGUCUGAUGUGAAAGCCCGGGGCUCACCCCCGGAAGUGCAUUGGAAACUGGUGGACUCGAGUCCCGGAGAGGAGGGUGGAAUUCCAGGUGUAGCGGUGAAAUGCGUAGAUAUCUGGAGGAACACCGGUGGCGAAGGCGGCAUCCUGGACCAUAACUGACACUGAAUAGCGAAAGCCAGGGGAGCAAACGGG